GUGUGUGUGUGUGUGUGUGUGUGUGUGUGUACACUUACACACACACACACACACACACACACACAUAU
RNAcentral lists this microRNA precursor (68 nucleotides) under Podarcis lilfordi (Lilford's wall lizard). Lineage: Eukaryota; Metazoa; Chordata; Lepidosauria; Squamata; Lacertidae. The record is from RNAcentral.